RNAcentral lists this long non-coding RNA (461 nucleotides) under Homo sapiens (human). RNAcentral describes it as "long non-coding RNA NONHSAT177879.1". Lineage: Eukaryota; Metazoa; Chordata; Mammalia; Primates; Hominidae. The record is from RNAcentral.
UGUGAUUGGGUAAAGCUUAAUCUCCAUUAUUCUUCAAUGAUGAACAGAAUUUCAUUUCAUUGGAUAACUCAGGACAUUGUGGACAGUGAUAUCCAUGGAAAGCAAGGUGCGUGUGACCUUGACACUAUGGAACGGAUGUGGUCCCAGUUUCUGAAGUCCUCAAGGUCAUGGUACUCAACAAUGCCUUAAAUGCCAGCAGACCCUCUAAACUCACAAAAGGAGCUCCGGUCCUGCUGAGCAGGAGAACAGCAGGGUUUGGGAAAGCUGCUGAUUGAAAUGCAAGCCUUCUCCUGAGAAGAUAGAAUAUCUAGAAUCAAGAAAGAGGCAUUUGGCUUUUCCGGGUGCACCCACCCCAGCUUCACUUACAAAGGAUGAAGUUAACCAUAGGAAGUUGGGCAGCAACCAGAGUAGCAACUGGAUCUGAUCUCAAAGGACACACCAGUGAAAGAGCAGCCUUUUGU